This 318-nucleotide long non-coding RNA is filed under the name Mustela putorius furo (domestic ferret). RNAcentral describes it as "lncRNA (ENSMPUG00000025367.1)". The record is from RNAcentral. Lineage: Eukaryota; Metazoa; Chordata; Mammalia; Carnivora; Mustelidae.
GAACAAGGGGAGAGAUGGGGUGAGGGGAAGAAUGUCUUCAACAUGUGAGAGGGAUCAGCGAAUAGAGCUGGAAACCUGGGCUGGGUUCCUGGACUUGUUGAAAACUCCCCAUGACCUUGGAUUUAAUUUAUUUAUUUAAUAGAAGACACAGUGAGAGAAGGAACACAAGCAAGUCAAGUGGGAAAGGGAGAAGCAGGCUUCCCGCUGAGCAGAAGCCCGAUGCGGAACUUGAUCCCAGAACCCUGGGAUCAUGACCUGAGCUGAAGGCAGACACUCACCGACUGAGCCACCCAGGUGCCCCUCUAUUUGUUCUUCUUA